AAAGUGGAUCAAGCGAUCGCUCCUCCCAAGCAUCACGCUUGUGAGGGGAGGAAAGUCCGGACUCCGCAGGACAGGGUGGCCGCUAACGGCGGCCCCGAGUGAUCGGGGGAAAGUACCACAGAAAAAAUACCGCCCGUCGUUAUACGCGGGUAAGGUUGAAAAGGCGAGGUAAGAGCUCACCGGUUCAUCAGUGAUGAUGGACGCUUGGCAAACCCCACCUGAAGCAAGACCAAAUAGGAGGGUUGGGUGGUCCGCCCAUCUCCCUCGGGUAAGGUCGCUCGACCCCAGAAGCAAUUCUGGGGCAAGAUGAAUGAUCGCUGUGACUUCUUUUGGAGGUCAUUACAGAAUCCGGCUUAUCGAUCCACUUUAGCC
Molecule: RNase P RNA, 372 nt
Filed under: Deltaproteobacteria bacterium
Lineage: Bacteria; Pseudomonadati; Myxococcota; Myxococcia
Description: RNase P RNA component class A
Rfam family: Bacterial RNase P class A
About the family: Ribonuclease P (RNase P) is a ubiquitous endoribonuclease, found in archaea, bacteria and eukarya as well as chloroplasts and mitochondria.
Source: RNAcentral